Molecule: ribosomal RNA, 516 nt
Filed under: uncultured bacterium
Lineage: Bacteria
Description: bacterial SSU rRNA
Rfam family: Bacterial small subunit ribosomal RNA
Source: RNAcentral
AACGAACGCUGGCGGCGUGCCUAACACAUGCAAGUCGAGCGCGAAUGGGGCAACCCUAGUAGAGCGGCGCACGGGUGCGUAACACGUGGAUAAUCUGCCUGGAUGCCUGGGAUAACCAGUCGAAAGAUUGGCUAAUACCGGAUAAGCCCACGGUUUCUUCGGAGACUGAGGGAAAAGGUGGCCUCUGUAUACAAGCUAUCACAACCAGAUGAGUCCGCGGCCCAUCAGCUAGUUGGCGGGGUAAUGGCCCACCAAGGCAACGACGGGUAGCUGGUCUGAGAGGACGAUCAGCCACACUGGAACUGAGACACGGUCCAGACUCCUACGGGAGGCAGCAGUGGGGAAUUUUGCGCAAUGGGCGAAAGCCUGACGCAGCAACGCCGCGUGUGUGAUGAAGGUCUUUGGAUUGUAAAGCACUUUCGACCGGGACGAAAACCCGAAGCCUAAUACGCUUCGGCUUGACGGUACCGGGAGAAGAAGCACCGGCUAACUCUGUGCCAGCCGCCGCCGUAAAAC